This 497-nucleotide ribosomal RNA is filed under the name uncultured bacterium. Its description in RNAcentral is "partial 16S ribosomal RNA". It matches the Rfam family "Bacterial small subunit ribosomal RNA", at positions 28 to 507 of the family's 1533-position model. The record is from RNAcentral.
GAUGAACGCUGGCGGCGUGCCUAAUACAUGCAAGUCGAGCGAACGGACGAGAAGCUUGCUUCUCUGAUGUUAGCGGCGGACGGGUGAGUAACACGUGGAUAACCUACCUAUAAGACUGGGAUAACUUCGGGAAACCGUAGCUAAUACCGGAUAAUAUUUUGAACCGCAUGGUUCAAAAGUGAAAGACGGUCUUGCUGUCACUUCUAGAUGCAUCCGCGCUGCAUUAGCUAGUUGGUAAGGUAACGGCUUACCAAGGCAACGUUGCGUAGCCGACCUGAGAGGGUGAUCGGCCACACUGGAACUGAGACACGGUCCAGACUCCUACGGGAGGCAGCAGUAGGGAAUCGUCCGCAAUGGGCGAAAGCCUGACGGAGCAACGCCGCGUGAGUGAUGAAGGUCUUCGGAUCGUAAAGCUCUGUUAUUAGGGAAGAACAGAUGUGUAAGUAACUGUGCACAGCUUGACGGUACCUAAUCAGAAAGCCACGGCUAACUACGUG